This 180-nucleotide ribosomal RNA is filed under the name Pseudoscabiosa saxatilis. RNAcentral describes it as "5.8S ribosomal RNA". It matches the Rfam family "5.8S ribosomal RNA". From Rfam's summary of the family: 5.8S ribosomal RNA (5.8S rRNA) is a component of the large subunit of the eukaryotic ribosome. It is transcribed by RNA polymerase I as part of the 45S precursor that also contains 18S and 28S rRNA. The record is from RNAcentral. Lineage: Eukaryota; Viridiplantae; Streptophyta; Magnoliopsida; Dipsacales; Caprifoliaceae.
CAAACGACUCUCGGCAACGGAUAUCUCGGCUCUCGCAUCGAUGAGNAACGUAGCGCAUCGAGAACGUAGCGAAAUGCGAUACUUGGUGUGAAUUGCAGAAUCCCGUGAAUCAUCGAGUCUUUGAACGCAAGUUGCGCCCGAAGCCAUUAGGCCGAGGGCACGUCUGCCUGGGCGUCACGC